This 245-nucleotide ribosomal RNA is filed under the name uncultured bacterium. RNAcentral describes it as "partial 16S ribosomal RNA". It matches the Rfam family "Bacterial small subunit ribosomal RNA", at positions 524 to 768 of the family's 1533-position model. The record is from RNAcentral.
GACGGAGGGAGCAAGCGUUGUUCGGAUUUACUGGGCGUAAAGGGCGUCUAGGCGGAUUUACAAGUCAGAUGUGAAACCCCCCGGCUCAACCGGGGAUCUGCAUUUGAUACUGUAGGUCUUGAGUACGGAAGAGGAAAGCGGAAUUCCUGGUGUAGCGGUGAAAUGCGUAGAUAUCAGGAAGAACACCGGUGGCGAAGGCGGCUUUCUGGUCCGAUACUGACGCUAAAGCGCGAAAGUGUGGGGAG